Molecule: long non-coding RNA, 3687 nt
Organism: Chiroxiphia lanceolata (lance-tailed manakin)
Lineage: Eukaryota; Metazoa; Chordata; Aves; Passeriformes; Pipridae
Exons: 2
Source: RefSeq, a predicted model, not a curated record
AGUACCCGGGCUGUGUUCUGAGGGGCGUUUCAGAGGCGGCAGGAGCUCGGCAGCGAUGCCGGGACACGCUUCCCGGGAGCUUCCCGGGAGCCGUGGGACCGUGGGAUCGGCUCCUGGCACACGUCGCGAGUCGCUGUGGCUUGUCCCUCCCUGCCGUGGCUCCGUGUCCCUCCUGUCUGGCGCUGUCGUGACGCUGCUGUGCCCGGUCCUGGGUAUCACCCUCUGUGUUUGCUCCUGAACGACCGACAGCGACGUGUGUUCCUCUGGUGCUUCUCAUUCCAAAGGAUCUCCGGAUGUUGUCCUGUGUCGGAGCCGUGGGCGGUCCCUGACGGGUGGGGGGGUCACGAGGGUGAUCUGUGACAUCCCCCAGACAGGACACAGCCUGACCUGUGCCCACUGAGCCUCGUUCCUGCCUCACCCACCCGGCCCUGAAACCAAACUAGUCCAAAAACCUCUAAACUGGAGUCCGAGAUUUGGGCACAAACCCUGAUAGAGCUUUGAACUGUGAAGUUACAGCAGGAGGUGACCCAGAAUCUCCAGUGUCACGCUGCCCUUUGAGAUGCAGCCCCACAACAGCACAGAGCCGCCUCGAGCAGUGUCACCGGUGUCACCCAGUGGGUGCCAGGGGCCCGGCGAGGUGCAGGGAGCUCCGGGUGAAGGGCAGCCCUUCCCUUGGAAAGGCUUUUCCCACUAAAGCUCCACGUGGUGCUGGCACAGCAGGUGACAUUCCAGGCUGUGGUGUGAGGGACAAAGUGUCCCCUUGUGUCCCAGGGGAGCGCGGGGUCGUUCCAGCCUCCAUCUCCCUGCGGUGCCCUCGGCAGUGCCAUCCUGGUGGCACCACCUCGGGGGUACCAAACUGGGGCUGCUGGAACUGGGUCUGGGGGUCUCACUCACCUGGCUGAUGCCUGUGCCCCUUGCUCAGGUGACAGCCAUUCGUGUCCCACCCGGGGUCCCUCUCCCUGCCCUGCUCAGGUCCUGUGCUGGAUGCAUUUGGGGACCCUCUGGAAUCAGGCCCCCCACAGCUCAGUGCCAGCUGUGCCCACCUCCAGUGGCGCUGGAAAACGUGGGGGCUCUCUGGUUUUAACAGCAGCUCCAGCAGUGCACCCCUGCCAGGGGAGCCCUUUGGGGGAAGGGGAGCCCUUCCCUUGGGAAGGCUCUUCCAAAAGGCUCUUCCAACCAAACCACCAUGGCCUCUGGUGGUCCCUCCCCGUGGUGCUGGCACCUCUGGGGGGCUGUUUUGGGACCCCCUGACCCCUCUCACUGUCUCUGGUGUCUGGCUGCGAGUCCCCUGUCUCCCAGUGACUCCAGGUGGGAACACAGCCCCCCAUCCCUGUCCCCAUCCCUUCCCUGGCCUCCCCACCUGUGUCUGUCUGACCUGCUGAUCCCCCCCCAGAGGGACCCCGAUUUCCAGGAGCAUCCCUUUGCCAUCCUCUGCUUCUCUUCAACCCCCUCUUGCCUCCACCGCUGCUUCCCUGCGAUCCCUGUGCUUCCCAUGGCACUGCCAACCCCCCAGGAGCAGCAGAGCCCCUGGAGCCCCCCACCCUCCUCGCUCCAAACCCCCUCCCACCACCAGUGUGUGGCCCUUCCAGCCAUCCCACAGAGUUAAACGUUCCCAUUCCUUUUCCCAAAGUCACGGCCUUUCAUCUCUGAAAUUUUCAUGCUCCCGGUUGGUGGCAAAGACUUGAAAUAUUUCCCAGGAAAUGGGCUGUAAAUAGAAUAUUUAAUGAUGUCAGUCCCUCUCCCGCAUUGUCCAAGUUCCUCUCUUUUAUGGAAUUGCUGUAAAUUCGGGAAAUCAUGGAAGGAGCAGUUAGGUAAGAGUGGGAUGACCCAGUUCAGGACACGGUUUCCAGGUCCUGGAACUGUCUGGACAAGGACAGGGUCACCUAAACCUCCCCCAAGAGCUGCCUGGAGCCAGAGGUGUCCUGGAAUCCCACAGGGAACAGGGACAAUGAGGUGUCCCACCUUGUGUCCCACAUGAUAUGGGGACAAUAGAGUGUCCUGUAGUCUGGGGAUGGGAACACCGAGGUGACCUGGAGUCCCACAGGGAUGGGGACAGUGAUGUGUCCUGGAAUCCCACAGGAAUGGGUCAGUGAGGUAUCCUGGAGUCCCACAGGAAUGGGAACAGUGAGGUAUCCUGGGGUCCCACAGGGAUGGGAACAGUGAGGUAUCCUGGGGUCCCACAGGGAUGGGGACACUGAGGUGUCCUGGGGUCCCACGGGGAUGGGGACACUGAGGUGUCCUGGAGUCCCACAGGGAUGGGGGCUGUGAAGUGUUCUGGAGUCCUGCAGGGGACAGGGAAUUUCUUCCUGCCCUUAUUCUGAAUUUACAGCAGUUCCAUCCAAGGGCAGGGAUUUCCCUGCACGUGGCAGCUCCAGGUCAGGCCCUGGAGCGUUCCCCUCUCAGAGCUCUGGGGGGUCCUGCCUGGACACCCCGAGAUGAGACGACGCGAUCCGUAACUCUCUCCGUAGCUCUAACUCUGGCUCUGUCUCCUUCCAAGACGGGCUUCCACGGAAGGACGUUUGACCAGAGGGACUGAGAAAGAGGCCAAGAAAGACUGAGAAUGGGAACGUGAGGUCAGAGUUCAGGAAUUGCUGGAGGCAGUGUUGAUUCCAUCCCCCCCGGGACCGGGACGAGGCACACCAGUGUGCCCAGGCUGAGAGGGGCUCGCCUGGCACAGCUCCUGCACGGUCCUCACCGGUGCUGACAGUGACAGCAGAGCAGAGGGACGACUUCCUUUGGGCCUGUCCUUGGGAAGGAGUGAUGGCCCCUGUGUGGGGACACACGGACUCGGCUCUGCUGGAGCUGCCCUGGCAGUGUGAGGCCAAUGGCACCUUCUUCCUGUUUAAAGUGGAAUCACAGGGCCAUUGAGGUUGGAAAAGCCCUCUGAGCCCAUCAAACCCCACCCAGCACUGCCAAGGCCACCACUGACCCCUGUCCCCAAGUGCCACAUCCACAGGGCUUUGAAAUCCCUCCAGGGAUGGGGACUCCACCCCUGCCCUGGGCAGCCCCUUCCAGUGCUUUACAAUCCUUUGGGGGAAGGAAUUUCCCAAGUAUCCAACCUGACCCUCCCCUGGCCCAGCCUGAGGCCUUUCCUCUUGUCCUGUCCCUUGUUUCCUGGGAGCAGAGCCCGACCCCCCCCCGGCUCCCCCCUCCUGUCAGGGACUUGUACAGCAGUACGGAUCCUGGAAGAUCCAGCCCGCUGAGCUGUGGGAGAGGGAUGAGGUGUCCCGGUGUCUGUGGCUGCUCUGGAGCCGAUCCUGGGCGGCAGGAGCUGAUCCCAAGCAGUGAUAGCCAAUCCCAGGCAAGGGGAACCAAUCCCAGGCAAUGGGAGCUGAUCCCAGGCAAUGGGAGCUGAUCCCGGCCAUGGGGAGCUGAUCCCAAGCAGCAGGAGCUGAUCCUGAGCAGCGGGAGCCAAUCCCAGGCAAUGGGAGUCAAUCCCAAGCCACGGGAGCUGAUCCCAGGCAGGGGAGCUGAUCCCAAGCCCUGGGAGCCGAUCCUGGGCAGGGGGAGCUGAUCCCAAGCCAUGGGAGCCGAUCCCGGGCAGGGGGAGCAGAUCCCAGGCAAUGGGAGCCAAUCCCAAGCCCUGGGAGCCGAUGCCAAGCCCCGGGAGCCGCGCGAGGUGCCCGCGGUGCAGCGGGUCCGUUGUGUGACAUCCGUGUCCCCAAUAAAGCUGACGCUGACGACUGA